This 67-nucleotide microRNA precursor is filed under the name Bombyx mori (domestic silkworm). RNAcentral describes it as "mir-2774 microRNA precursor family". It matches the Rfam family "mir-2774 microRNA precursor family". Lineage: Eukaryota; Metazoa; Arthropoda; Insecta; Lepidoptera; Bombycidae. The record is from Rfam by way of RNAcentral.
AAAACAUUCGGACUGUCAGUCUACUGAGAAAUUUCACCCGCUCAGUGGAAGAUCUUUCCUUUGUCAU